Molecule: non-coding RNA, 135 nt
Organism: Triticum aestivum (bread wheat)
Lineage: Eukaryota; Viridiplantae; Streptophyta; Magnoliopsida; Poales; Poaceae
Source: Rfam
UUACUACUCCCUCCGUUCCGAAUUACUUGUCUUGGAUUUGUCUAGAUACGGAUGUAUCUAGACUCAUUUUAGUGCUAGAUACCUCCGUAUCUAGACAAAUCUAAGACAAGUAAUUCAGAACGGAGGGAGUAGUAU